AACGAACGCUGGCGGCAUGCCUAACACAUGCAAGUCGAACGAGACCUUCGGGUCUAGUGGCGCACGGGUGCGUAACGCGUGGGAACCUGCCCUUAGGUUCGGAAUAACUCCCCGAAAGGGGUGCUAAUACCGGAUAAUGUCUUCGGACCAAAGAUUAUCGCCUUUGGAUGGGCCCGCGUUGGAUUAGCUAGUUGGUAGGGUAAAAGCCUACCAAGGCGACGAUCCAUAGCUGGUCUGAGAGGAUGAUCAGCCACACUGGGACUGAGACACGGCCCAGACUCCUACGGGAAGCAGCAGUGGGGAAUAUUGGACAAUGGGCGAAAGCCUGAUCCAGCAAUGCCGCGUGAGUGAUGAAGGCCUUAGGGUUGUAAAGCUCUUUUACCCGGGAUGAUAAUGACAGUACCGGGUGAAUAAGCUCCGGCUAACUCCGUG
Molecule: ribosomal RNA, 432 nt
Filed under: uncultured bacterium
Lineage: Bacteria
Description: partial 16S ribosomal RNA
Rfam family: Bacterial small subunit ribosomal RNA
Source: RNAcentral